GGCCGGGUCGAGCGGUCCAUCGUUUCGGUGCGUACUGCUUCCGAUCUGGCCUUCGCCUCCCGUGUGUGCGUGCGCAUGGCGCAUGUGCCCUUCACUGGGCGCGUGUGGCCGGCGCACGAGCCGCGGGUCGUUUACCUUGAAAAAAUUAGAGUGUUCAAAGCAGGUUUGCAGCCUGAAUAGAUUAGCAUGGAAUAAUAGAAUAGGACUACGGUCUUAUUUUGUUGGUUCUAAGACCGCAGUA
This 241-nucleotide ribosomal RNA is filed under the name uncultured fungus. Its description in RNAcentral is "partial small subunit ribosomal RNA". The stretch from base 125 to 241 matches the Rfam family "Eukaryotic small subunit ribosomal RNA", at positions 745 to 864 of the family's 1831-position model. Lineage: Eukaryota; Fungi. The record is from RNAcentral.